GUGUGCUGGAGAUUUGUUUACCCCAAGACCCAAAUCCUUAUGAUUUGUUGAGCUCCUCUGCAAGCAGCUCCUUAUCAAAAUACAGUGCAGACAAUGAGGGGGACUCGGAUGACACCAUUAUAUUGCAGCAGAGUGCUACAAGAAAGACAGCUGAGGAUAAUCGUCUAUCUCAUAUGAUUGAAGACAUUCUGACGACCAAUCCUGGAGGAGAGAGGAUCAUGAAUGAGUAUGCUCGGACAAAAAGCCUAACAGAUGGCAAAAGACGCGAUAUGGUCAAGAUAUUGGUUGCACAAAUGACAAGUGAACAUGGUAAAGUGUGUGUGUCUAGGACAAGUCCUUCAAGGCGUGUUAAAGAGGACUACUCAAAGGGCAUCAUUGCCUUGUUCCCAAACCUGGCCGAUCCUACUAGCAAGUUUGGUUAUGAGCAUUAUUACAAUGCAGAAGAUGGGAGUGGAUUUCUAGCAUGGAGACUGAAAUUUGUUCAAAGGGAAGCAUCAGUGGGACGACAGAAGGCCAUGUGUCAGUCACUGACAUGGGGUCCGAAAGCUGAUAGAUACCCCUUCAGAGAGGAAAACUGUCCAACAACAGAAUGCCUGUGUUGUGAGGCCAUUGCACUGAUGAAGGAUACGGCUGAGGAAGCAAUUGUAAAGGAGAAGAUGAAGCAGACGUUCGCCUAUCGCCAAAAGAUGGUUCAUGACCCAGUGAAGUCCUCUGAAAUAUUCACAGUGUUUCCAAGAUUCCAAGACAUAGCAGGAAUGAUUGAGCAAGAUUUUAGUCUGAUGUUUGGUGAUGCAACCUCUGCAAAGUUCCUGGAGAAGUGGCCUACUCUCUACAAGCAGAAAGUAAUUGACCAAAGCCGUGGCCUCACACAGACAGGCAACCUACAAGACCUGGUUCAAAAUGCUGAAUCCACAAGGGAAGUGAAAAAUGGAUGGGACAGUGACAUGUCCUCCAUUUUGGUCCUUGUCCACAUUCUUCCACCGUCACCACUUGGCCGCAAGAGACCAGGAAAAGUCUCAGCCAGACACGCCAGUGACCACAUUGUGAAGUUUAUCAAGACUGGGACCAGCAUCCAGGGGCAUCUGGAGAGCGUCAUGGAAAGCUCUCCACCCUAUCUGCUUGCUGUGGGGACCCAGAGGAGUGCGAUUCACAAGUACUUCAUUGUGAUUGACAAGCAUGCAGUACCUUGUAAGUCACCAGACUCUCUUGCCUGUUUUGAUGAGCUUUUCAAAGCUCAUUUUGUCUUUGGUACCUCGUACAACCAGUAUCUGGUCAAUGUGUACAACUUCUUGCAAACCACAAUUUAUGAAAUUGAUGUUGAUACCACUAAGGUUAAUCCUAGGGUUGCAGAGUUGAGGGCUCGGAUGCUGCAUUGAGUUACUAAAAGUUUUGAAGUUGCAAAGGGUUAAAACACAGCAUAGGAAAUAACCGUUUUCAUUUCACACAAACUUUUUCAUAUCAUUCAUCUAAAAUGUGUUUUGCUUGCAAAAGCCUCCAGGCAAAUGCUAAUUCCUUGACAAAACUCUAGAAGUUGGUCCACGGACUUUGUCCAGGAAAGACAGUUAGUCAUGCGGUCAGGCUGGUUGUUCACAAGUUUAUGCCACUUUUUCUGGGUUCAGAAAUCAUCUUUAUAAAGCACAUGAACCUUGUUCUGAUCAUGGUGAAGGCCCCUCUACAGCUGAAUAUGUAGCAGUAAGUCAUUUUGAUGACUUACCAUUAACAAGUUCCCCUUCUGACUCAGUCCUUGUCAAUAAGAGUCUUGUAGACAGCUGCGCUGCAAUCAUUGCUGAACUUAGUGGCAGGUGUAGGUGAAACCACCAUUAACUCUUUGGUAAUUUCCAUGGAAGAGAUAGUUGAUGAUAUUCAAGCUAAAGAAUCUGUGAAGUGUAUAUGUCUAUACAGGAGCCUAUUAAAAGUGACAUUAGGUGUAAAAUUCAUCAGUGUUUUGAAAAAACGUAAUCCUUUUGGUGUACAUCUAGACGUUCCGCUAGCGGAACACCUGCUCCAAUAUCCAAUGAUGGCCGUGGCGCGAAAUACAAACUCCUCUAAAAUCCGAAAACUUCCAUUUUUCAAACAUAUGACUAUUUUACAGCAUUUUAAAGACAAGACUCUCGUUAAUCUAACCACACUGUCCGAUUUCAAAAAGGCUUUACAGCGAAAGCAAAACAUUAGAUUAUGUCAGCAGAGUACCCAGCCAGAAAUAAUCAGACACCCAUUUUUCAAGCUAGCAUAUGUCACAAAAAACAAAACCACAGCUAAAUGCAGCACUAA
This 2271-nucleotide long non-coding RNA is filed under the name Salmo salar (Atlantic salmon). RNAcentral's name for it is "lncRNA (ENSSSAG00000114484.1)". Lineage: Eukaryota; Metazoa; Chordata; Actinopteri; Salmoniformes; Salmonidae. The record is from RNAcentral.